UGAAUAUCCGAGUCGAGUUGAAUCUGUGACGCCCCUAAAAUAGGUAUACAUCACCCAUCUUGAGUCGCCAAAUACAUGGUACAAAAUUCAAAUAUAACUUAAUAAUACAGCUGUCGUGUAAAAUACGACAAAACGUAAACUAAGAGUUUAAAAAGAAUAUUGUCAUCUAGACAAUAUCCACACUCAAAAGAGUCCUCUUUACAUUUAUUUUUACACUAUUUAACAGAAUAGUGAGGACUAUUAAAACUAUCACCUGGACCGUCACUCCGUUCCUCGACUAGUCCCGGCUACAUUCUCAUUUCCUGAAGAGAACAGUGAAAGAAAGGGUGAGCUCAACUAGCCCAGUAAGAAAUAUUAUGACUAAGAUAAUGCAGAAUAAAUUGUCACUAGCAUUCAACAAUGUUAAACUGAUAAAAUAUAACAAACAUCAAGUUUAACUGCAGCGGAACAAGCAAUCCAUUAAAAGAGUCAAGUAGAGAAUAAAAUCUACUAUCUUUUAUGAUUUAAAAGGUUUUUCAUNNNNNNNNNNNNNNNNNNNNNNNNNNNNNNNNNNNNNNNNNNNNNNNNNNNNNNNNNNNNNNNNNNNNNNNNNNNNNNNNNNNNNNNNNNNNNNNNNNNNUGAAAAGAUACUGGAUGAAGCGCAAAUAUCAAGGAUAUUCCACUAAUUUCAUGGAGUAUAGAAGUCAAAACUUUAACCAACUGAGUAUAAUAAAGAAUGAGAUAACAAAAGAAAUCACCAGGCAUACGAUAGACCGCACAGACAGGUUAUUCCAACAAAAUAAUAAAUAACGGAACCAGGUCAUGCGCAAACGCACAGACAGGAUGUUCCAACAGAAUAAUAAAUAACGGAACUAGGUCAUGCGUAACGCACCGACAUGAUGUUUCAACAAAAUAAUAAAAAUGGAAUAACAGAAGAAUUUCACCAUGUAUGCGGUACUUCGUAUAGACAGGUUAUUCCAACAUAAUAUAAAGAAUGGAAUAACAAAAGAAUUUCACCAAGUAUAGGGUAGCCCGCGUUUACAGGUUAUUCCAAUAGAAUAAUAAAUAAUGGAAUAACAGAAGUUCUCUUCACGAAUAAGAAAGAAAUAAUACCCCUUACCUUAGUAGAAAAUUGGAUACCACAAUAUUGUAGUAACAGAAGAUUCUUCUUAUUUCUCUCAUAUUCUCUCUAUUCUUUCUCGCUCUAAAGUUUUAGUGAAUUCGUGAAAAAUAAUGAAGGAAUGAGCUUCUAUUUAUAAGCUUGGUAGAGUAAGGGUAAAAUAGUCUGUUCGCCAUAAUUUAUGACAUCAUCGAUCAUAUGACAUCAUUGCUUACAUCAUCGAUCAAAUGACAUCAUUGCUUACAUCAUCCUUCCGAUGACAUCAUUGCUUACCUCAUCGUUCUAAUGACAUCAUCCCUUACAUCAUCAAAAUUCAAAUUCAAAUUGUUCUCUUCCACCUCAUUUUACUUUUAUACCAUGAAUUUACUAUAAUAAUGUUACCAUUCAAAUAUUAUAAAAAAAACAUACUAUCAUAUAAUCACAUCAUACUACUAUAAUAUAAUAUUAUAAUAAUAUAUUUAAAUGAAUUAUUGAUUUGAUAAUUUGAAAUACUGUGUAAUGACAAUUAUUGAAUCAAAAAUAUCAACGUAGCAAUUAUUGAAUCAAUAAAAUAUUAAACAUUAAUUACUGUAACAAUUAUUUAGUAGUGCAUUCUUACGUAAGAAUUAAUAAUUCAAAAAAUAUUGUGCAAUACCGUGUGCUACUGUGCAACAACGCGUGUUACUGUAUUUUAACCACCAGGUAUUCCAACAGUGUUAACGGUAACUCUUCCGCCGUUAUUUUCAUAAAAAUAUUUUUGUCGUUUUCUAACUCCGACAAUAAUUCCGUUGUGGGGUCCACCAAUGAUUGUGUCGUCGUACGAAUAUUCUCCGACAAAAAGAAUAUUCCCCGACCAAACGAAUCUUUUAUAACAACUUGCGUACUUUGCAAAAUUUAUAAAUAUUACCCACAACUAUAACAUUAUAUCAAAUUCAUUCUAUAAUUUUAAAAAAAUAUUUCGAAAAAAUUAAAUCUUUAUUCAUAAAAUUUGGGGUCUUACAGAAUCUAAGUAGAAUUUUUUUAAAUACAAUUCGAAUUCGAGUCAAUUUGAGUAUGAAUUUAACUUUUUGUGUCGAAUCCAACUAACUCUCGUUCGAGUAUGUUCGAUUCGUUUAUACUAUUAAUUAUAUAAUAAUUGUUUAUAUUUAUUUAAAUUUUUUGAGUUUUUUUUUUGUGUUAACAACUCAUAUUAGUUAGGCUAAAAAUGAAUCUGAAUUGUUUGAAACUCAAUUCGGGAUCGACUUGAGACUCGAAUUCGAUACUUAAACAAGUGGAAUUCAAAUCAAUUUUAAUACUCUAAUACUUAUACGAGUCGAAUAUGAGUCAUCCACUGUUCGCUCAUUUAGAAUAUCGAAUUUUCAUUACUUCAUUAAUACAUACUAUAUACAAGUUUGUUAAUCCUUACUCAUAUACACUAUUAAGUGUACUCAAUUUAUUUAAUAUAUAUUAUUUAAUAAUUAAAAUUUUCACAUAUUUUUAGAAUUGAAAAUAGUUCAUUAAUUAUUUUAAGAGUGAUAAUAUCAUUUCAUUAAAUUUUUAUUACAAGGCUAGAUAUUUAAUUUGAAAUGUUCAAACUUUAAUUAUAUCAACUGCUUAACUGAAUUAAUUUUAUAUACAUUAUCAUAACAUAAAUAAUUUAAUUUUAAUUCGUGUAUGUUUUAAAUCCUUGCGAGUAGUUGGAUUAAAAACAAACCGAAUUGAACUGAAUUCGAGUAUAAUAAAACGAGUCUAAUUUGAAUAUGAGUAAAUAUUACAAAAUUGAAUAGAACAAAAUUUAACAUGUUAGUUGUAUAAUUUAUGAUUUGUUGGGUUUUAAGUAGUUUUGUUAGGGUGACCUGGCACAGGUUUCCAUUUCAUUAGUGCACGUGUGCUUGAUUCUUUGUUGAAGAAAAAGACAUUGUUGGGACGGACGGCACGGGAAUCAAAAGAAAAGUCUACACUCAUAGUACUACAGUAGGCAGUAGGCAGUAGGCAGUAGGCAGCAAGCCAGGGUAGUGGUAGGCUGGUGGUGUGGGACAAUUUCCUAACUUCCGGCAGUAGGUAGAUUCACUCUAUGUAGAAGCGAGGCGACACCGACGGUCGAAUGCAGUUAAAUGCGAAUUUGUGUUAAUUUUGGACGGUGUUUGUUUGGGAGGAAGGAUAGGUGGUUGGCUGGUUGCUCUUUCUCUCUCUCUCUCUCUCAGGUAGGGAAAUCUCGUGAUUCUGAAUAAAAUACAAAUUUUGUGUAUGGAGUAUAUGUAGUACUGUAUUUUUUAUUUAGGGAAAAAAUGUCUAUUCUUUUGAGAAGCUAAUGUAGACUCGACUCACUCUGAGAGCUAGCUAGCUAGCUAGCUAGUUACCUCUCUCUCUCUCUCUCUAAAGUAGUAGUACUAAGGGAAAGAAAGGGAUGUUUUAUUUUCCUUGGAAUUUGGAAAAGAGUUAAAAGAGAGUAGUAUAUGUUUGGAUGGAAGAUUUGGUAUCCUGAGAGAGGACUGGAAUCUGGAAAGCUGACAACUAAACCUUGUAGCCGAGCCGAGCCGAGCCAUUCAUUCAGCCUUUGAAAGACCAAAACAAGGGGAGGGGAGGGGAGUUUUAUACUACUUCAUUUUAGUUUUUAAUUGUAGGGGUUGGGGUUGGGAUUGAGUCUUGGAUCGACCAACACAUUCAUCAUCAUCUAUGGUGAAUUCUGAUUUCCCAUCGGCCUCUUGAAUACAACACAUACACAUACACAUACACAUACACAUACACAUACACAUAAUUUGGCUGAACUGAAUGAAUACACACUAAAUCGAUGGUAGUGAUCAUUUGAGAACUCAAUUUCGCUUAACCUGUAAAUUGUGUCCAAAAAAAAUAAAACUUUGUUUUGAAAUGAAAAUAUAUAUAAGUAAACAAAUCUUAAUUAUAAUAAUAAUACUACAGUUCAGUUCAUUGAUAUAAAACGUUGUUGACACCUUGAAUCUAUUAUUACCCAAUGUUAUAAUAAUAAAAACAAACAUUUCAUUUCAGGAGAAAACAGAUGGGACGACUGACUGACUGACUUCCUUCCACUAUAUAUGAUGAGCUAGAUUAAUGCUAUAACGGUCACUUAGGAUCUCACCUGAACCCGACCGUUGCUCUGUCACGUGUGGCGAGCGCAAGCAAGGACUGGAACUGACUCUACUCAACUCAACUCAUUAUUAAUAGUUAGUAGAGUAUGGGCGGUGAAAGGCCAAUGAAGGAAGGAUGUUUUAUUUGGUCCGUUAAGGAGGUGUGAGGAUGAUGACCCUCACCUCACCUAUGACCUAUGUAUGUGAGGUGGUGGGGGUGUCAAG
This 4368-nucleotide long non-coding RNA is filed under the name Panax ginseng (ginseng). RNAcentral describes it as "long non-coding RNA (PGIN_LNC017307)". The record is from RNAcentral. Lineage: Eukaryota; Viridiplantae; Streptophyta; Magnoliopsida; Apiales; Araliaceae.